AAAAGUGAGUUAGAUUCAUUUUAAAAUGCUCAAUAUAAAAUGCUGUGUUAUUCACUAAGAAACAACAAUGAAGGCUUCCUGUAGAGGGAGGGCUGACAGAGAAUCAGAAACUUACUGAGGAAAUGAAACUUAUGAAAACAACAGAUGUUCACAGAUCAGAUGAGGGCGGGAACAGUGUACCAGUAUAAAUUACACACAGACCCACUGAUCUGUCCUUUCCAGAGCCUUCUGCUGCCAGAUCAACAAGAUUUUAUGGCGUUUCCUCUGUGGGAGAUGCUGUGGAAACUUGACUGGUCUUGUAGCACUAAUGUCAUCAUGAAGGAGGCGGAGUUUAUGUAAAUCCUUGCUGCCAGGGGUGAGGUCAUCUGGCCCAGUGCCAUUCAGAGGGGAAACCCAUUUGUUGGUGCUGUUGUCCAGAUGCGCAGAGGCCAGCGCAGUCUGCGAAGCCUAACACCGCGUGACGCCUGACAACCUAUGCGUAAAGCCUCAAGUCUAUGAAAAAUGCCGACAAAAAGCCAAGAACCGACCAUAAAAAACCAAUGCAUGUGAUGCUAACUAGUGAACCAAGAAAUCUCUUUAACACAUUGCUGACUCCUGAAUAAUGCUACAAAUGUUGACUCCUGAAUAAUGCUACGAAUGUAAAGUGAAGAAGUUAAAUUUUGGUGAAACCUUUGGUUUCUGCAUUGCUUGGUUGGUUGGUCUGGGGCCCAACUGAUAAAACAAAAAGCCCCAGAAAAAAAGUACAAAAAAAAUAAAAUUCUAAAUAAAAAUAGUAAAAUCUGCAACAGAAAUUCAUA
Cyprinus carpio (common carp) is the source of this 797-nucleotide long non-coding RNA. Lineage: Eukaryota; Metazoa; Chordata; Actinopteri; Cypriniformes; Cyprinidae. The record is from Ensembl.